This 496-nucleotide ribosomal RNA is filed under the name uncultured Allobaculum sp. RNAcentral describes it as "partial 16S ribosomal RNA". The record is from RNAcentral. Lineage: Bacteria; Bacillati; Bacillota; Erysipelotrichia; Erysipelotrichales; Erysipelotrichaceae.
CACGUAGUUAGCCGUGACUUUCUGGCGGGGCACCAUCAGUCAGCACCCAUUUCCUGAUGCUGCCUUUUUCCCCCGCAACAGAGCUUUACGACCCGAAGGCCUUCUUCACUCACGCGGCAUCGCUCGUUCAGGCUUGCGCCCAUUGACGAAAAUUCCCUACUGCUGCCUCCCGCAGGAGUCUGGGCCGUGUCUCAGUCCCAAUGUGGCCGUCCGCCCUCUCAGGCCGGCUAUGCAUCAUCGUCUUGGUGGGCCUUUACCCCGCCAACCAACUAAUGCACCGCAGGUCCAUCCGCGCCCCAUCCCCUAAAGGAUGUUUCACAGAAAGAAGAUGCCUCCUUCCUGUACAUCGGGAUUUGUUCUCCGUUUCCAGAGCGUAUUCCCGGUGCGCGGGCAGGUUCCCUACGUGUUACUCACCCGUUCGCCACUAGAGACCCGAAGGUCUCUCGUUCGACUUGCAUGUAUUAGGCAUGCCGCAGCGUUCAUCCUGACGCCAGGA